GAGUUCAUGCCCUCACGGGUAGAUCUCCCACCCUUGAAUAUUAUACCUUCGUUGCUUUGGCAGGCCGUGGAAACACCAUGGGCUCCGGCUGAUGCGUGCCUGCCAGAGGAAACAAACUCUGUCAUUUAUGUCGUCUGAUUACUAUUUAAUAGUUAAAACUUUCAACAACGGAUCUCUUGGUUCU
This 184-nucleotide unclassified non-coding RNA is filed under the name rhizosphere metagenome. RNAcentral's name for it is "partial ribosomal RNA internal transcribed spacer region". The record is from RNAcentral.